CGCCAGCCCGCUCAGAAACUCAAUGCAUUGACGGGGGCCCGCACAAGCGGUGGAGUAUGUGGUUAAUUCGAUGCAACGCGAAGAACCUUACCUGGUCUUGACAUCCCGGAGACCCUUAGGAAACUAGGGGGUGCUUCCAUCUGGAAGAAUCUGGAGACAGGUGCUGCAUGGCUGUCGUCAGCUCGUGUCGUGAGAUGUUGGGUUAAGUCCCGCAACGAGCGCAACCCUUGCCUUUAGUUGCCAGCAGUUCGGCUGGGCACUCUAAAGGGACUGCCGGUGUUAAACCGGAGGAAGGUGGGGAUGACGUCAAGUCCUCAUGGCCUUUAUGACCAGGGCUACACACGUACUACAAUGGCCGAUACAAAGGGCAGCGACACUGCGAGGUGAAGCCAAUCCCGUAAAAUCGGUCUCAGUCCGGAUUGGAGUCUGCAACUCGACUCCAUGAAGUUGGAAUCGCUAGUAAUCGUGGAUCAGCAUGCCACGGUGAAUACGUUCCCGGGCCUU
RNAcentral lists this ribosomal RNA (504 nucleotides) under uncultured Desulfobulbus sp. RNAcentral describes it as "bacterial SSU rRNA". It matches the Rfam family "Bacterial small subunit ribosomal RNA", at positions 904 to 1382 of the family's 1533-position model. The record is from RNAcentral. Lineage: Bacteria; Pseudomonadati; Thermodesulfobacteriota; Desulfobulbia; Desulfobulbales; Desulfobulbaceae.